CAAUAGCGUAUAUUAACGUUGUUGCAGUUAAAAAGCUCGUAGUUGGGUUUCUGGAGGGAGCGUCGGCCCGUAUUUACGAGUGCGUGACGUCUCUGUCCAUCCUUGCGGGAAGGCACGGCAUUGAUUUGUUGUGUCGGAUCGCAUCAUUUACUGUGAAAAAAUUAGAGUGUUCAAAGCAGGCUUUCGCUUGAAUACAUUAGCAUGGAAUAAUAAGAUAGGACUUUGGUGCUAUUUUGUUGGUUGAGCCUAAAGUAAUGAUUAAUAGGGAUAGUUGGGGGCACCUGUAUUGCGUUGUCAGAGGUGAAAUUCUUGGAUUUACGCAAGACAAACAGCUGCGAAAGCGUCUGCCAAGGAUGUUUUCAUUAA
This 366-nucleotide ribosomal RNA is filed under the name uncultured eukaryote. RNAcentral describes it as "partial 18S ribosomal RNA". It matches the Rfam family "Eukaryotic small subunit ribosomal RNA", at positions 592 to 976 of the family's 1831-position model. The record is from RNAcentral.